Molecule: RNA transcript, 1225 nt
Organism: Brassica rapa (field mustard)
Lineage: Eukaryota; Viridiplantae; Streptophyta; Magnoliopsida; Brassicales; Brassicaceae
Gene name: probable inactive heme oxygenase 2, chloroplastic
Source: RefSeq, a predicted model, not a curated record
CUCAAUCCAUCUUUGUUUGUUUGGUCGGAAGAAUCCAUGGCUUCUCUCAUGAGGCAAACGCCUGGGACGCCUUAUUCACCUCCCAAGCUCGUUCUAUCUCUUCUUCAUCACCAUCCUCUCACCUCGAUAAUAUCUUUCCCGACUCAGAGAAAUAACCCAACCAAUCUUACUCUCAGUCUCUGUCGUUGCUCGUCACCCAUGACCGUGCCGAGCAGCCCAAAGAAGAAGAGAACAAAGUACAGGAAACAGUACCCAGGAGAGAGCGUUGGGAUAACCGAGGAAAUGAGAUUCGUCGCCAUGAGAUUACGCAACGCUAAUGGAAAGAAAGUGGACCCCGCAAACGACAAGGAACAAGAAGGAGAAGAUGGUGAUGAAUUGGAGGGAGAGACUUGGAGUCCGAGCAAGGAAGGCUUUCUUAACUUCUUGGUGGAUAGCAAGCUUGUCUUCGACACUAUCGAAAGAAUUGUAGACGAAUCUGAGGAUGUGUCCUAUGCUUACUUUAGGAGAACUGGGUUAGAGAGAUGUGAAAGUCUUGAGAAAGAUCUAGAAUGGUUUAGAACAACACAAGGUUUGGCAAUACCGGAACCAAGCCAGGUAGGAGUAUCGUACGCAAAGUACUUGGAAGAAGAGGCAAAAGAGAAUGCAGCUUUGUUUCUUUCUCAUUUUUACAGUAUCUACUUCUCACACAUCGCUGGUGGUCAAGUUAUAAUAAAACGGAGAAAAUUGAUUUGUUAAAGGUGUCGGAGAAGCUUCUAGAAGGGAAAGAGCUGGAGUUUGUUAGGUGGGAAGGGGAUGCGCAAGACUUGCUUAAAGGCGUCCGUGAGAAGCUCAACGUGCUCGGGGAGCAUUGGACUCGGGACGAGAAAAACAAAUGCUUGAAGGAAACUGCAAAGGCAUUUAAGUAUAUGGGGCAGAUAGUUCGCUUGAUCGUCUUGUAAGAAAAACAAAACCGUUCCCAGUACCAGAGAGGACUUCUGUUCACUAAUCAAUAUGGUCAAGGCGUAGGCAAAGAGUCUGUGGGCCUUACUCUGAGGAAUGCUUGAUGAGAUAUUGUUGUUGCUUAGUUUAAGUUCUUUUUUGCACUUGAAACCAAGCACCAACUGAACUAACAAUCUAAUCAUGAAAAAUUUACAUUCAUCGUCACUUUUUGUCUUUCUGAUUACAUGUGGAGUCACUUGUUGCCUGAAACAUACUUUUUUCAUAUUAUUUGUCCCUUAUGCCCUUC